GUGCCAGCCGCCGCGGUAAUACGGCGGGGGUUAGCGUUGUUCGGAAUUACUGGGCGUAAAGCGCACGUAGGUGGAUCGGAAAGUUGGGGGUGAAAUCCCGGGGCUCAACCCCGGAACUGCCUCCAAAACUACUGGUCUAGAGUUCGAGAGAGGUGAGUGGAAGUCCGAGUGUAGAGGUGAAAUUCGUAGAUAUUCGGAGGAACACCAGUGGCGAAGGCGGCUCACUGGCUCGAUACUGACGCUGAGGUGCGAAAGUGUGGGGAGCAAACAGGAUUAGAUACCCGGGUAGUCC
RNAcentral lists this ribosomal RNA (292 nucleotides) under uncultured bacterium. RNAcentral's name for it is "partial 16S ribosomal RNA". It matches the Rfam family "Bacterial small subunit ribosomal RNA", at positions 505 to 796 of the family's 1533-position model. The record is from RNAcentral.